This 230-nucleotide ribosomal RNA is filed under the name uncultured bacterium. RNAcentral describes it as "partial 16S ribosomal RNA". It matches the Rfam family "Bacterial small subunit ribosomal RNA", at positions 103 to 334 of the family's 1533-position model. The record is from RNAcentral.
CGGGUGCGUAACACGUGAGCAACCUACCGAAAUGAGGGGGAUAGCCGUCCCAACGGACGGGUAAUACCGCAUACGCUCUGUCCAGGCAUUUGGACUUGAGGAAACCUCCGGGGCAUUUCGAGGGGCUCGCGGCCUAUCAGCUAGUUGGUGAGGUAACGGCUCACCAAGGCGACGACGGGUAGCUGGUCUGAGAGGAUGGCCAGCCACAUUGGGACUGAGAUACGGCCCAG